Molecule: long non-coding RNA, 274 nt
Filed under: Helianthus annuus (common sunflower)
Lineage: Eukaryota; Viridiplantae; Streptophyta; Magnoliopsida; Asterales; Asteraceae
Description: sRNA HanXRQr2_Chr09g0365311
Source: RNAcentral
UCGACAAUAUAUAGUUUGGUUAAAAUGACAAAACAUAAAUAAAUCACUAAACGUAUAAUGAUGGUUCGAGUUCGGUUCGCGUAAAUAUAAAGUGUCUAACAAUAUAAAAAAACCCUUCGCGCGUUUAAAUCUUUACCGAGUCUUUGAGUUGACCAUCCUUGACUUCUUAGAAUCGAGAGGGAGAGGAGAACUAAAAGGGGGAUGAGGGGCCGAUUUUGUGUUUCAUCUAUUUGUGAAGAUGGAGUCCUGCUCCAUUAAUGUGUGUGUGAUGUGA